Long non-coding RNA from Drosophila ficusphila, 678 nucleotides. RefSeq lists it as uncharacterized. The transcript is spliced from 2 exons. NCBI's taxonomy places the organism in Eukaryota, Metazoa, Arthropoda, Insecta, Diptera, Drosophilidae. The record is from RefSeq and is a predicted model, not a curated record.
GUCAAAAGUAAAAUGUUGCUCAAAAGCCGAAAGCAAUACUAAUAGUUUAGUCUUAUGGGAAAUCACUUUGCAUACAUAUACCAUACAGUCCGGGACGUUUUUGACAUCCACUGUAUGCAUGAUAAAUUUGAAGAAGAAAUGGAAAUCGACUAACCCAAAUAUUGUACAUUCACUCGAGACUCAAGUGAGCCAAAAAUGAGCCACUGGGGAGACGAGGCACGACAACUAAAACGCUAGAAAAGACUUAAAGACUGAAGACCGAAGACUGAGGACUGAGGACUGAGGACAGAAGACGGGGAGCGGCAGGUGCAGAUGCCAGAAACAAUAAAAUGUUCACUUCUAUUCGGCGGCAGCCAAUUUGCAUUCGAUGUGACUUCGUCAUAGCAUAAUUGGAAUUCAAAAUUGACGUGGGUUGGGUUGUUGGCGUUCUGGCCCGCAACCAAAAAUUGGAAACAAUGACGAAACCGCAAAUGCAGCGAAGGAGGUGUACAGUGAAGCCAUUGUAAAUUGAAUUGAAUUGGUUUCUGAUUUGAUUUAUUUCCACAGAACAAAUUUGCAACAAAAGGAUUUCGUAUUUUUGAUUUCCCAAAUAUUUAAACAGAAACCGUUUAAAAAAGGUAUAGAAAGAAUAAGAAUAAUUAUCACUAUAGAAAUAAAAAAUAAAUUUAAGAAUCUUUA